GUCUUCCCUCGCGCGUAGAGAGUGACUCGAAGGACCCCCUCUCCUCUUCGCUGCAGCCCCUCCCCAUGCACGCUGGGAGACUCUUGGAGGGGAUAAGGUGGGGCCCGGAGAGGAAGAGAAGACAAUCGGAUUGGAUAGGCAGCUGCCAUGGCAACUGGAGGCUGUGGUUAUAUUGUCAUAGUAACCGAUGUGUGCGGACAGGGUCACCCUCCCCUUGGCCAAUGGAUUCCCAGGAAACCACCCAGGGUUCCCCGUUGGCUUCCCUUCCAUCUAAAGGCCUCCCCCAAGUUUCGGGCCAAAAAGCUGAAAUAAAGAACGAAGUCAAUAAUAAUAUGAAGUGUAUGAGAAAUAGCUGGAAAAUUCAUCAUCCAUGACUUGAAGAAAUUGACGUUUUACAAGUUAUAUUUUCGGUGAAGAGGCACUUUCAAGAUCCUUCUCUGAGACCUGCACCAAUAAGACUAUACCAAUGUUCAGUUGAAACAUCAGACACUGUUCUGGUUAUGAUGGACACCACAGUGAAAGAGACCUGGUCCCUGCCUUGAGGAAACCCAACUGCUGAUCUACUUCUGGGAACCGUCACAGCCUGAGAAAGAUGGCAUGCCCUGAAUGGAAUUCACAGAGAAUUAUUUUAAGUCAUGCUACUGGCCCCGCCCAGUUAUGUAACAACUUGCAUUUCCUCAAUUCUCUGGAAUGUGGCCAGUCAGGAACUUCCACAUUUGGUUUUUUUUUUUUCCCCCAUUUGUGGGUAAGAAAGUAAAAGAGGCAGGAAAACUGAAUUGAGAAAGAAGAAAGAAUAGGGGAAGAGAGAAAGAAAAAAGAAAACCAUGAAGCCUGGAAGAGGAGAAAGAAGAGAUAGAUGAGCAAAGAAGCACAUUGCCUGGUGGUAGUAAUAGUUGUCAGACACCCAUCUAUUAUAAUCUGUUUUCCAUGGGAGAUUUUAAGAAGAGGCUAGAUCCCCAGUCUGUCUUAAAAUCAAGAAAAGGGACUCUGUUGCCUCUAAAGUAUACUUCCAGACUCAGCAAUCUCUAAAUUCUGAGUGGGGCAUCCCUAGUUUUGCUGCCUAAAAUCUAUGACAGUUGGAAAUGAUUCCAUUUAAGAUCCAGUUCAAGAAGCUAUACACCCUGAGGAACUUUAUAUUGCCAUUUAGAGGACCGAUAUUCUCCAGAUUGCUUGAGCCCAGGAGUUUGAGACCAGCCUGGGCAACAUGGCAAAACUCCAUCUCUACCAAAAAAAAAAAAAAAACAAAAUUAGCUGGGCAUGGUGGUACACAUCUGUAGAACCAGCUACUCUGGAGGCUGAGCUGAGAGAACCCCUUGAGCCUAGGAGAUGGAGGUUGCUGUGAGCCAAGAUCGUGCCACUGCACUCAAGCCUGGGUGACAGAGCCAGACCCUAUCUCAUAAAUAAAUAAAUGUCAAUAUUCUCCAAAACAGAUUGUAUCAUUUGAAUUUGGACUUUGUGUACACUUGAUACUACACUUAAUCUUUGCCAAAAAGCCGAGAAGCAAUGGACUUUGGGUACAAGGUGGAAUAUCACUCUACUCUCACCCAUUUUAGUAUGAGUGAAAAUACCAUUUAAAACAAAACAAAACAAAACAAAAUAAGGUAGUCCAGACAGU
Molecule: long non-coding RNA, 1615 nt
Filed under: Homo sapiens (human)
Lineage: Eukaryota; Metazoa; Chordata; Mammalia; Primates; Hominidae
Description: non-protein coding SMG7-AS1:12
Source: RNAcentral